This 379-nucleotide unclassified non-coding RNA is filed under the name uncultured Pseudomonadota bacterium. Its description in RNAcentral is "uncultured proteobacterium contains 16S-23S intergenic spacer region". The record is from RNAcentral. Lineage: Bacteria; Pseudomonadati; Pseudomonadota.
UCCGGCUUGUCGCCGGCGGUCCCUUUAGAGUGCCCAACUGAAUGAUGGCAACUAAAGGAGAGGGUUGCGCUCGUUGCGGGACUUAACCCAACAUCUCACGACACGAGCUGACGACAGCCAUGCAGCACCUGUGUUCCGAUUCCCUUUCGGGCACACCUGAAUUUCUUCAGGCUCUCGGACAUGUCAAGGGUAGGUAAGGUUUUUCGCGUUGCAUCGAAUUAAUCCACAUAAUCCACCGCGUGUGCGGGUCCCCGUCAAUUUCUUUGAGUUUUAACCUUGCGGCCGUACUCCCCAGGCGGAUGACUUAACGCGUUAGCUGCGGCACCGAGGGGGUCGAUACCCCCGACACCUAGUGCUCAUCGUUUACAGCGUGGACUAC